UGAAGGCAGGUCCUACAUACACAGGAGAACUCUAUUAAAUAGUGUUGCCUGGAGAAGAGGGAUGCGCUGCUUUUGGCUGUCUAUGGAAGAAGGCCAUGCAUUUGAGUCACCUCCCUCUGUAGCCUAAAGCACCAUGUCACCAAACACCGACUUGGCCCCCUGGUGACCAGUAGCUCACACUGCAGGGGGAGCCUGUGAGUAAAUAGUAGCCCACAGGCAUCACCUUCAGUAUUUGUAAAAUUGCAUAACACUGGGCCUACCUCGAAAUUCUGAAUAUGUAGGUCCUAAGUAACAGGCCCAGGAAUCUGUAUUUGAAUGAAGCUCCUCUGAUAAUCCUUUUACCAUGCCAAAAGAACUGGGUCUGUUCUUUUCCAAACAUCCCACAGGACCAGAAUCAUGUGGGGAACUUUGUUAUACCUAGAGUUUCCAAGCCAGACCCCUGAAAAUUCUGACCAGAGGUCUGGAACAUGACCUUAGGAAUUUGUCCUUUGAACAGGUAUCUUGGGUUUGCAUUGAUUUAUAAAUGGAUCAGGAUGAAGCUUGAGAAAGGGGCUAUUGCAUAAUAAAUGAUGGUUGAAUGAAAGAAGGAAAGGGCGGUAGAGAGUCCAUGUGGUGGAUUAGGGGUUUUCUUGAGUGUAGUAAAAACGCCUUCCACAUAACAAGUUUACAUACCACAGCUCAGGAAUCCUCUGUUCAGUGAUAUGAGGUUGACAAAGCAGAAGUUGUUACCUGAUCCCCAAUUUGCAGAUGAAGAAAAUCAAGGUUGGGCUGGGGUUGUGGCUCAGUGGCAGAGCACUUGCCUCGCAAGUGAGAGAUACUGGGUUUGAUCCUCAGCAUCACAUGAAAAUAAAUAAAGAUUAAAAAAAAAGAAAUUCAAGUUUGAGAAUAUUACAUGAUUUGCCCAACCUCAUGUGUGUGACAGACUCUGAACAAAUCGCCCAGUGUUUCCUCCUCUUUAUCACCCUGCCACAAACUUAAAGUCUGUCCUGACUCAUGUAAGGAAUAGAGUCCUGAAAAAAUCUUCCAUUGUUCUGCUGAAGUCACUAUAAUCUCAUUAUCCUUCCUUUGGAUGCACUUUUACAAUGGGUUGGUCACUGAGCUCAGGAUGCAGAUCUGUACAAGAGUUGAACUCUAGGGCUUAAAUAACCAAUUUUGUAAGAUUUUGAGGAUAACUAAGUCUUGGUAGAGAGGGUAGCUUUAAUGAUGGUAGUGGUGACAAUGAUGAUGAUGAUGAUAUUGUGUUGCUGCUGCUGCUGAGCCUUGCAUGGAUUGAACCAAGACACACUUACUUUUGGUGUCCUAAAAGCUUUGCACAAUUAUCUCAGUCCUCAGGGCAUUUUUAUUCCCUUUUUUUCAAAUAAGGGAAAGCAAAACUUAGAGAGGUUAAGUAAUUUAGCCAAGGGCACACACAUAGCUUCUUUUUCUUUUUUUUUUUUUUUAAUUGAACCCAGGGGUGCUUAACCACGGAGCCACAUCCCCAGCCCUUUUUAUUUUUAUUUUUUAUUUUAUUUUGAGACAGGGUCUUGCUAAGUUAUUUAGGGUCUUCGCUCAGUUGCUGAGGCUGGCUUUGAACUUGCAACCCUCCCACCUCAGCCUCCCAAGCUGCUGGGAUUCCAGGCCUACACUCCUGUGCCAUACUGCACACAGCUUUUUAACCACUAUCCCAUACUGUCUCCAGCCAGCCAUCUUGGCUGCUCUUAAAUGAUCCAUAUCAAAUAUAUGGGUUGGUAAGGCUGAAGGAAGACGAAUGUUAUACAGGUAAAAGGAAUGUCU
Molecule: long non-coding RNA, 1773 nt
Filed under: Marmota monax (woodchuck)
Lineage: Eukaryota; Metazoa; Chordata; Mammalia; Rodentia; Sciuridae
Rfam family: tRNA (bases 771-842)
Source: RNAcentral